Molecule: ribosomal RNA, 497 nt
Filed under: uncultured bacterium
Lineage: Bacteria
Description: partial 16S ribosomal RNA
Rfam family: Bacterial small subunit ribosomal RNA
Source: RNAcentral
GAUGAACGCUGGCGGCGUGCCUAAUACAUGCAAGUCGAGCGAACGGACGAGAAGCUUGCUUCUCUGAUGUUAGCGGCGGACGGGUGAGUAACACGUGUAUAACCUACCUAUAAGACUGGGAUAACUUCGGGAAACCGGAGCUAAUACCGGAUAAUAUUUUGAACCGCAUGGUUCAAAAGUGAAAGACGGUCUUUCUGUCACUUAUAGAUGGAUCCGCGCUGCAUUAGCUAGUUGGUAAGGUAACGGCUUACCAAGGCAACGAUGCAUAGCCGACCUGAGAGGGUGAUCGGACACACUGGAACUGAGACACGGAACAGACUACUACGGGAGGAAGCAGUAGGGAAUAUUCCGCAAUGGGCGAAAGCCUGACGGAGCAAAGCCGAGUGAGUGAUGAAGGUCUUCGGAUCGUAAAACUCUGUUAUUAGGGAAGAACAUAUGUGUAAGUAACUGUGCACAUAUUGACGGUACCUAAUCAGAAAGCCACGGCUAACUACGUG